This 253-nucleotide ribosomal RNA is filed under the name uncultured bacterium. RNAcentral's name for it is "partial 16S ribosomal RNA". It matches the Rfam family "Bacterial small subunit ribosomal RNA", at positions 524 to 776 of the family's 1533-position model. The record is from RNAcentral.
UACGGAGGGGGCUAGCGUUGUUCGGAAAUACUGGGCGUAAAGCGCACGUAGGCGGCUCAGCAAGUCAGAGGUGAAAUCCCAGGGCUCAACCCUGGAACUGCCUUUGAAACUGCUAGGCUAGAAUCUUGGAGAGGUCAGUGGAAUUCCGAGUGUAGAGGUGAAAUUCGUAGAUAUUCGGAAGAACACCAGUGGCGAAGGCGACUGACUGGACAAGUAUUGACGCUGAGGUGCGAAAGCGUGGGGAGCAAACAGG